Molecule: ribosomal RNA, 642 nt
Filed under: uncultured Actinomycetes bacterium
Lineage: Bacteria; Bacillati; Actinomycetota; Actinomycetes
Description: bacterial SSU rRNA
Rfam family: Bacterial small subunit ribosomal RNA
Source: RNAcentral
CGCGGCCUAUCAGCUUGUUGGUGGGGUAAUGGCCUACCAAGGCGACGACGGGUAGCCGGCCUGAGAGGGUGAUCGGCCACACUGGGACUGAGACACGGCCCAGACUCCUACGGGAGGCAGCAGUGGGGAAUAUUGCACAACGGGCGAAAGCCUGAUGCAGCGACGCCGCGUGGGGGAUGACGGUCUUCGGAUUGUAAACCCCUUUCAGUAGGGACGAAGCGCAAGUGACGGUACCUGCAGAAGAAGCACCGGCUAACUACGUGCCAGCAGCCGCGGUAAUACGUAGGGUGCGAGCGUUGUCCGGAAUUACUGGGCGUAAAGAGCUCGUAGGCGGUUUGUCACGUCGUCUGUGAAAUCCCUCGGCUUAACCGGGGGCGUGCAGGCGAUACGGGCAGACUUGAGUACUACAGGGGAGACUGGAAUUCCUGGUGUAGCGGUGAAAUGCGCAGAUAUCAGGAGGAACACCGGUGGCGAAGGCGGGUCUCUGGGUAGUAACUGACGCUGAGGAGCGAAAGCAUGGGUAGCGAACAGGAUUAGAUACCCUGGUAGUCCAUGCCGUAAACGGUGGGCGCUAGGUGUGGGGUCCUUCCACGGACUCCGUGCCGUAGCUAACGCAUUAAGCGCCCCGCCUGGGGAGUACGG